CCCGGCCGUAGCGCAGAGGCGGUCGCGCCACCCCGUGCGCGGGGCGGGACACGCGGGUUCGAAUCCCGCCGCCGGGG
This 77-nucleotide transfer RNA is filed under the name Actinosynnema pretiosum subsp. pretiosum. RNAcentral's name for it is "tRNA-Ala". RNAcentral also lists the same sequence under 1 other name. Lineage: Bacteria; Bacillati; Actinomycetota; Actinomycetes; Pseudonocardiales; Pseudonocardiaceae. The record is from RNAcentral.